Molecule: ribosomal RNA, 253 nt
Filed under: uncultured bacterium
Lineage: Bacteria
Description: partial 16S ribosomal RNA
Rfam family: Bacterial small subunit ribosomal RNA
Source: RNAcentral
AACGUAGGAGACAAACGUUAUCCGGAGUUACUGGGCGUAAAGGGCGUGUAGGCGGUUUGUUAGGUCUGGCGUGAAAGCUCUCGGCUAAACCGGGAGAGGUCGUUGGAUACUGGCAAACUAGAGGACGGUAGAGGCGUGUGGAAUUCCGGGUGUAGUGGUGAAAUGCGUAGAGAUCCGGAGGAACACCAGUGGCGAAGGCGACACGCUGGGCCGUACCUGACGCUAAAGCGCGACAGCAUGGGGAGCAAACGGG